AAUGAACGUUGGCGGCGUGGAUUAGGCAUGCAAGUCGAGCGGAAAGGCCCCGCAAGGGGUACUCGAGCGGCGUAAGGGAGAGUAAUACGUGGGUGACUUGCCCUCAGGACUGGGAUAGCCACGGGAAACUGUGGGUAAUACCGGAUAACGUCCCCGGACCAAAGGUGUGAUUCCGCCUGAGGAGAGGCCCGCGUCCUAUUAGCUAGUUGGUGAGGUAACGGCCCACCAAGGCAAAGAUGGGGUACGGGGUGUGAGAGCAUGCCCCCGCUCACUGGGACUGAGACACUGCCCAGACACCUACGGGAGGCAG
This 310-nucleotide ribosomal RNA is filed under the name uncultured Planctomycetota bacterium. RNAcentral's name for it is "bacterial SSU rRNA". It matches the Rfam family "Bacterial small subunit ribosomal RNA", at positions 29 to 351 of the family's 1533-position model. Lineage: Bacteria; Pseudomonadati; Planctomycetota. The record is from RNAcentral.